This 587-nucleotide ribosomal RNA is filed under the name uncultured bacterium. RNAcentral's name for it is "partial 16S ribosomal RNA". It matches the Rfam family "Bacterial small subunit ribosomal RNA", at positions 355 to 1375 of the family's 1533-position model. The record is from RNAcentral.
UGGGGAAUAUUGCACAAUGGGCGCAAGCCUGAUGCAGCCAUGCCGCGUGUGUGAAGAAGGCCUUCGGGUUGUAAAGCACUUUCAGCGAGGAGGAAGGUGGUGAGCUUAAUACGCUCAUCAAUUGACGUUACUCGCAGAAGAAGCACCGGCUAACUCCGUGCCAGCAGCCGCGGUAAUACGGAGGGUGCAAGCGUUAAUCGGAAUUACUGGGCGUAAAGCGCACGCAGGCGGUUUGUUAAGUCAGAUGUGAAAUCCCCGGGCUCAACCUGGGAACUGCAUUUGAAACUGGCAAGCUAGAGUCUCGUAGAGGGGGUAGAAUUCCAGGUGUAGCGGUGAAAUGCGUAGAGAUCUGGAGGAAUACCGGUGGCGAAGGCGGCCCCCUGGACGAAGACUGACGCCCAGGUGCGAAAGCGUGGGGAGCAAAACAGGAUUAGAUACCCUGGUAGUCCACGCUGUAAACGAUGUCGAUUUUGGAGGUUGUGCCCUUGAGGCGUGGCUUCCGGAGCUAACGCGUUAAAUCGACCGCCUGGGGAGUACGGCCGCAAGGUUAAAACUUAAAUGAAUUGACGGGGUCAUAGCUGUUUCCU